AUGGUGAUAAUGUAUUUGAAAUCUGCCAUUAUACUGUUUUUUCAGGAUAUCUUCAGGAGGGAAGACAAAAAUAAUUCUGGAUUUCUUGACAUAUAUGAACUGAAGAGUGCAAUACAGACAGCAGGUCUGGCCAUCAACGAGCAAAUCCUGCACCUGGUGUCCCUGCGUUUUGGUGAUGUUACCAGGAGAAUCGGCUUCUCUGACUUCAUGUGCUGCAUGCUGCGCCUUGAAACCAUGACCUGUGAGUCUUGGCACUUGGGCCUGGGAUUAGGCAAGGGGCAGGGCAGCUUUAUCACAGGGGAGCCUGCAAAACCAGACAGAGCAGUGAAAGGAAGCAAGGGGAAAAGUGCUGGACGCAGUAAUGCAGGUCUACAGAUCAGCGUGGAAAUAAUGAACCUGCCAAAAGUCUAGGCAUGGCCCUGGCAUCCCUUUGGGCAGGCUGUUUGCCAAAAGCCAGGUUCUCCUCCUGCCUAAGGGGGAAACCAGUGUGGUGCUGGAGAAAAGGGCUGGGAAUACAGCAAUGGGUGCACUAAAAAGGGUCAGGAAGAAAGGAUGGCCCCCAGGCUCCCAUCAGAUCCCAUCAGAACACCUGUAGCCUGCUGCAGCACCACACUGCCCAGCGCAGCAGCAAACGUAGUGUAUUUUCAGAACUUCUUCAGGGGCUACUGCUGACAAUACUUUUUGCUGCAUGCAUUUAGCCUGACCUCUGCAGGCUUAUUUUGGAGCUCCCAUGCACUAAAGAAGACUCAUUUUCUAAAAUGUCCCUGCACUGGUGCCCUUUAACACAAGAUUGACUGCAUCCUGUUCUGCAGCAGAGCUUUCUCCAGGGUGGCAUUGUCAGUACCAUAGAAAGGACACUACCCAGUGAGGAGGAAGGACACAACUGGGGUGGUUUUACCUUGUACUGUACAGUACAGUACCUUGUACAGCCCCAGUACAACAACAUGUCUCAAAUGGAAGGGUUUCUGUUUUGGUUAAAAGUCAGGAAGUCUAAACCACAAGAAGAGUAAGUGCCUUUUUCUUUUUUAAACCAGAGAGAUGUUCCCACCAACUUCAGUACAGUUCUCUCAGCUUUUUGGUAAGGAGAAGGUGUGAGAUCCUUCUCAGUGAAACACAAAAAGCGAUGUAACUCCAAGACUCAUUGACUCACUUUGGAGAAUUAGGAAGCAAGUAUUCUUUAUUAACAGCACUGGGUACGUGGGAGAUGGUACUUACUUAUGGUACGGUGAUAUACAUAUUCAUACAAUUUUCCAAGAAAGGUCAGGAUUUAUGUUAAUGUUUCUGAGAACGAAUUAUCAUAUUGUUCCUCCUACUUUCGUAUGCACAGUACCCUCUGGUGGUCACACUUUGGGGUCUUUCUGAUGAAGGCUCUUAGUCUUCUUCACCUUGUACUUUUUCCCAUUUUGCGCACUCUGUCAUUGUUGACCACUUCAGCAGUUUUACUUUUUUCAAACUCAGCUAAGUCAAUUGUUUGAGUUCUACUUUGGGCACCGUGUUCCUUCUUCAGCCUUGAUUUUAUGGCUAGAGCUGAGUCUUGUUGUGUGAGGCUGAUCCAACAAUUUAACAAUUUCAGCAAUCCCUUCGGUUUACUGUAUGACACAUUUUGUUUUUUAUACUCAUUGCUUCAUUGGUGAGAAAACAAAUCCAUUUCCUGUGUGUGUCUCUCUAUUGUCUGCCAAGGAAGGAGUGCUUGUAAACAAAAGUGCCUAAAAGUAAGGGUAUUCUUUUUACAAAAACAUAGUUUUUACUACUAUAAUUAUAAGCAUUUUGACUAGAAAUACCGAUAGUUAAAUAAAUCCAGCAAUUGUAACCCAUGUGCUAAAACACAGCGACACCAAUUUAGCUCAUCUUUGGAAUGAGCUGGGUUUUAGUGGCACACAGAAAUGAGCAUUCAUUUUUUGUGCAUGUUUUACCACUGAUGUUUUAUGGGCUCCCAGUGGUCAGCGGAUCUGCCUGGGUGAUGCUGCCUAAACGUCCAUUUUAAGAAAGUACAGAAGCAGCUCAGAAAGUCAGAACAUAUCCUGAUUUUAACACUUUCAUUAAAAUCAGGCAAGUUUUAAAGACCCAUAUUUUUAUGAUGUCACUUGCUGUAGAUAAAAAUUCUUAUACCUAAAGCAGGACAAUAGCAUAUUUUUUUAACAUCAUUAAAAUAUCCUCUUACAUUUUAAGUGCCAGAAUAAAGAUAACUCCUUUAGACUGAUUUGGAAAAUAAUCUCUGAAGUUUCAUUGCUGUCUGUAAUAAGUGUCUAAAAUGCUCUCAAGUCUUUAAGUUAUCAUUUUACAGAGGGUUUAAUAUGGAAUACAUUUUUCAAAUCAUUGUGGGUAAGAUUUUUAGAGGAGAGGAGGAUAAGGGAGACAAAUCUGAAUAAAAGACAGUACACCUUUAUGAUGAUGUGAAUGCAGCAAUGGAGAUAAACCUGUCCCAUUAAACCAUUACUCAUCCUUUCAGGAUAGCCAGUGAAGAGAUGGGACUCAAACCAAAUGUAGCAGCUUCUUUCCGUACUCUAUUUAACUGGAGGUAAUGAAGUUGUAAAGGGGCAAUUCUGCUUAAAGGUAACUUCAGCACUGCAGUUUGUUCCUAGAAAGACUACUGAGUGCAAGCAGCCCCGCAAAUACGUCCUUGUCACGGGACUGGGUGCAACAUGGUCAUUAUUUUGUUCUAUACUCUUUCUCCAGAACAGUAUAUAACGGUUGUGUUUCUGUUAGCCAUGCCUUCGCUCUGCCCUGGGUCAUAAAGGUAGCUCUGGAUGCCUGCGAGCCCAGGAAAAGAGUGUUCUAGGGGGCUGAUGAGGAAUGGGCCCUUAUGCCCUCUUCCUAUACCCUCCCAGCAGCCUUCCAUUUGUCUAAAGCUGGAUAGGUUUUGAAACAUUCAUGAACUUACAAUGCCCUUUCUGUUUGGGGUGGGAAACACGCUCCUAGAGAAAUGUUUUUGCUGUUUACACCAGCACAUUUCUAAGAGAAAAGUAAUAUCAAAAUAAAUAGGAACUUGUAAUACUGUUUCUACUUCAUCCAAAUUAUUGGGUUUGAACAUUUCUUCUAGACAAACAAAUAGAAAUAUGCUCAUAGAAUAUCAAUAUUGAAUAGAUUUAAAUUUUCUGAUGGCAACGUGUACUGCCAGAAAACUUUAAGCAACGUUAAUUUCAAAUUCCAGAUGAAUAACAGCAGCAUCUGCAUUUAUAUUCCGUGGAAAAUACUUGUAAGGCAUAAUAAUGACUUCAAGAGAAUCGCUUUCCUCAGGCCACACCGUGAUUGCUCACUGCCAGGGAGGAUGGAAAACGACCAACAGAAAGUCUCCCUGUGGGAAGAUAUUUUUCAUUAGUUCACCAUUUUCCUGUCAUUCUUCAGGCACAAGGUCCUAUCGAAACAAAUUAUGAGUAGAUGAAAGCAGUUGCACUGAGCACUCCUGUUCCUACAUUAAGGGCAACGAAGCUGCUGAAAAGUGUAGAAAACAAGUCUUACAAGGAGCAACUGGGGUUGUUUAGCCUAGAGAAAAGGAGGCUCAGGGGAGACCUUAUCACACUGUAUGAUUACUUUAGAGGCUAUAGCAAGGUGGGGAUUUGUCUCCUUUGCCAAGCAGCAAAUGGUAACAUGAGGGGAAAUGGCCUCGAUUUGUGCCAGGGAGGCUUUAGUCGGAUAUUAGGGGGAAUUUCUUUACUGAAAGGGUUGUGCAGCAUUGGAAUAGGCUGUGUAGGGAAGUGGUUGAGGUGCCAACCCUGGAGGUCUUCGAGAAACAUGUAUACGUAAAACUCAGUAGCAUAGUUUAUAUUAAUUCUAGGUUAAAGUUUGGACUAGGUGAUUUUAGAGAUCUACAACCUGAAUAAUUCUAUGAUUCUAUGUUUUUUUCCAAAUUCUGGACCUGUAGUUGGGAUGUUUUUACAGGCUGUAAUGCAAGGGCUAAGGCAGAGGGGUACUCAGCACAGAAAUAGUAUCUGGGUAGGCAAGACAUUGCACGUGGACCCCUGAGCAAGGCAGAGAACCCCAGCACAAGGACCACAGCUCUGCUAUUCGGCUGCUAUGAACUUAUUUUGCAGACUGCAUUGCGUUUUUGCUUCCUCCUCACAAAAUAAAAUUUUCUUUGUUCUAUACCUAGAUGCAUUUCAAAACUUAGCAAAUGGUGGACCACAACUUUUCGUGACAGCAAUGGAGGUAAGGCUACUUGUUCCUUCUUUUCAGCUCCACAGUGGGACCAUGUUAGCAGGAUGAAACUAAAGG
This 4212-nucleotide long non-coding RNA is filed under the name Anas zonorhyncha (Eastern spot-billed duck). RNAcentral describes it as "lncRNA (ENSAZOG00000000004.1)". Lineage: Eukaryota; Metazoa; Chordata; Aves; Anseriformes; Anatidae. The record is from RNAcentral.